This 787-nucleotide ribosomal RNA is filed under the name Ateleute nigriceps. Its description in RNAcentral is "partial 28S large subunit ribosomal RNA". It matches the Rfam family "Eukaryotic large subunit ribosomal RNA", at positions 408 to 937 of the family's 3401-position model. Lineage: Eukaryota; Metazoa; Arthropoda; Insecta; Hymenoptera; Ichneumonidae. The record is from RNAcentral.
UUCAGGGGUAAACCUGAGAAACCCGAAAGAUCGAAUGGGGAGAUUCAGCGUCAGCGAUUUUGGUACGUGUGCGGUUCGGGAUGCCGGUGACUUCGGUCACUCGACACUCGUCUGCAUGUUUAUUAUUGCCUGAAUCGUCGGCGUGCACUUCUCCCCUAGUAGGACGUCGCGACCCGUUGGGUGUCGGUCUACGGCUCGGAUGGUAGCCUGUCUCGCGUGCGUCUCACGACGUUUCGCGGGUCAGACCUCCGAUCGCCCGACCGGCUGCUCGGCGGUACUCGCACGGUAUCUGGCCGCAAAUAUUUGAACUGCGUCCGGCCCGUCGCAAGCGAGGCAAGUGUUCCCGGCUGUACGGAUUUAAUGCCGUCGCCGGGCCUUGACAGCUGUUGGUUGACGGUGUCCUGGGACUGGCCAAAAAAAUUAUGAUACCGGUCGGCGACGCUACUGCUUUGGGUACUUUCAGGACCCGUCUUGAAACACGGACCAAGGAGUCUAACAUGUGCGCGAGUCAUUGGGAACUAUUAAACCUAAAGGCGCAAUGAAAGUGAAGGUCGGCCUUGCGCCGACCGAGGGAGGAUGGGCCGCGUUACGAUGCGGUCUCGCACUCCCGGGGCGUCUCGUUCUCAUUGCGAGAAGAGGCGCACCCAGAGCGUACACGUUGGGACCCGAAAGAUGGUGAACUAUGCCUGGUCAGGACGAAGUCAGGGGAAACCCUGAUGGAGGUCCGUAGCGAUUCUGACGUGCAAAUCGAUCGUCGGAACUGGGUAUAGGGGCGAAAGACUAAUCG